GCGCCCGUACUCCAACGGUAGAGAGAGCGGCUUUAGGUGCCGUCAAGUGUGAGUUCGAAUCUCACCGGGCGCA
This 73-nucleotide transfer RNA is filed under the name Nocardioides sp. Its description in RNAcentral is "tRNA-Leu". It matches the Rfam family "tRNA". Rfam says of the family: Transfer RNA (tRNA) molecules are approximately 80 nucleotides in length. Their secondary structure includes four short double-helical elements and three loops (D, anti-codon, and T loops). Lineage: Bacteria; Bacillati; Actinomycetota; Actinomycetes; Propionibacteriales; Nocardioidaceae. RNAcentral also lists the same sequence under 1 other name. The record is from RNAcentral.